ACCCCCCAGGCCCUGGCUAACCUAGUGUGGCCUUGUAGUUAAUUUUAUUAUUCUGAUAGCAAUUUAUCAUCCCAAGUUGUAACCUAUCUGUCAUCUAUCAUCGUUACCUUUACGAAGGGAUUCCUUGUUGCAUUCAACCGGAGGUUGUAGUUGCAGAGAACCCUGUGACGAAGACUGCUUCAACACUCUUAAUCAACACUUGGAACUCUUACGGUCUUCGGUUGAUCCCCCAGUGCCAAGUGCUACCUUAAAUUUUCUUGGCUUUGGGGUUCGUCCGGGUUCAUUAGAAGAAUCAGAAAUGGUUAAAAGUUAUGGAGGGACUUGAUUGCUGGAGAUAUCAUGUUGCCGU
Molecule: long non-coding RNA, 349 nt
Organism: Neltuma alba
Lineage: Eukaryota; Viridiplantae; Streptophyta; Magnoliopsida; Fabales; Fabaceae
Exons: 3
Source: RefSeq, a predicted model, not a curated record